RNAcentral lists this transfer RNA (60 nucleotides) under Bombus pauloensis. Its description in RNAcentral is "partial tRNA-Asp". Lineage: Eukaryota; Metazoa; Arthropoda; Insecta; Hymenoptera; Apidae. The record is from RNAcentral.
AAAAAAAGUUAGUUAUAAAUAACAUAAGAUUGUCAAUCUUAAAUUAAUAUUUUUAUAUUA